UGAGCAACCUGCCCUUGGCUUUGGGAUAACCCUCGGAAACGGGGGCUAAUACCGGAUACGAGACCGAGUGGCAUCACACGGUCUGGAAAGUUUUUUCGGUUAGGGAUGGGGUCGCGGCCUAUCAGCUUGUUGGUGGGUAAUGGCUCACCAAGGCGACGACGGGUAGCCGGCCUGAGAGGGCGACCGGCCACACUGGGACUGAGACACGGCCCAGACCUCCUACGUGAGGCA
RNAcentral lists this ribosomal RNA (231 nucleotides) under uncultured bacterium. RNAcentral describes it as "partial 16S ribosomal RNA". It matches the Rfam family "Bacterial small subunit ribosomal RNA", at positions 118 to 350 of the family's 1533-position model. The record is from RNAcentral.